UUAAUUAGCGGCGGACGGGUGAGUAACACGUGGGCAACCUGCCUGUAAGACUGGGAUAACUUCGGGAAACCGGAGCUAAUACCGGAUAAUAUAAAGAACCUCAUGGUUCUCUAUUAAAAGAUGGUUUCGGCUAUCACUUACAGAUGGGCCCGCGGCGCAUUAGCUAGUUGGUGAGGUAACGGCUCACCAAGGCAACGAUGCGUAGCCGACCUGAGAGGGUGAUCGGCCACACUGGGACUGAGACACGGCCCAGACUCCUACGGGAGGCAGCAGUAGGGAAUCUUCCGCAAUGGACGAAAGUCUGACGGAGCAACGCCGCGUGAACGAUGAAGGCCUUCGGGUCGUAAAGUUCUGUUGUUAAGGAAGAACAAGUACGAGAGUAACUGCUCGUACCUUGACGGUACUUAACCAGAAAGCCACGGCUAACUACGUGCCAGCAGCCGCGGUAAUACGUAGGUGGCAAGCGUUAUCCGGAAUUAUUGGGCGUAAAGCGCUCGCAGGCGGUCUUUUAAGU
Molecule: ribosomal RNA, 514 nt
Filed under: Litchfieldia alkalitelluris
Lineage: Bacteria; Bacillati; Bacillota; Bacilli; Caryophanales; Bacillaceae
Description: bacterial SSU rRNA
Rfam family: Bacterial small subunit ribosomal RNA
Source: RNAcentral